GAUGAACGCUGGCGGCGUGCCUAAUACAUGCAAGUCGAGCGAACGGACGAGAAGCUUGCUUUUCUGAUGUUAGCGGCGGACGGGUGAGUAACACGUGGAUAACCUACCUAUAAGACUGGGAUAACUUCGGGAAACCGGAGCUAAUACCGGAUAAUAUUUUGAACCGCGUGGUUCAAAAGUGAAAGACGGUCUUGCUGUCACUUAUAGAUGGAUCCGCGCUGCAUUAGCUAGUUGGUAAGGUAACGGCUUACCAAGGCAACGAUGCAUAGCCGACCUGAGAGGGUGAUCGGCCACACUGGAACUGAGACACGGUCCAGACUCCUACGGGAGGCAGCAGUAGGGAAUCUUCCGCAAUGGGCGAAAGCCUGACGGAGCAACGCCGCGUGAGUGAUGAAGGUCUUCGGAUCGUAAAACUCUGUUAUUAGGGAAGAACAUAUGUGUAAGUAACUGUGCACAUCUUGACGGUACCUAAUCAGAAAGCCACGGCUAACUAUGUG
RNAcentral lists this ribosomal RNA (497 nucleotides) under uncultured bacterium. Its description in RNAcentral is "partial 16S ribosomal RNA". It matches the Rfam family "Bacterial small subunit ribosomal RNA", at positions 28 to 507 of the family's 1533-position model. The record is from RNAcentral.